Molecule: transfer RNA, 85 nt
Filed under: marine eukaryotic metagenome
Rfam family: tRNA
About the family: Transfer RNA (tRNA) molecules are approximately 80 nucleotides in length. Their secondary structure includes four short double-helical elements and three loops (D, anti-codon, and T loops).
Source: RNAcentral
GAGAGAUGGCUGAGUGGUCGAAAGCAACGGUUUGCUAAAUCGUCGUACCGGAAACGGUACCGCGGGUUCGAAUCCCGCUCUCUCC